UGCCUGUAAGACUGGAUGGUAACUCCGGGAAACCGGGGCUAAUACCGGAUUCGGUUGUUUGAACCGCAUGGUUCAACAUAAAAGGUGGCGCUUCGGCUACCACUUACAGAUGGACCCGCGGCGCAUUAGCUAGUUGGUGAGUAACGGCUCACCAAGGCAACUGCGUAGCCGACCUGAGAGGGUGAUCGGCCACACUGGGACUAGACACGGCCCAGACUCCUACCGGGGAGGCAGCAGUAGGGAAUCUUCCGCAAUGGACGAAAGUUGACGGAGCAACGCCGCGUGAGUGAUGAAGGUUUUGGAUCGUAAAGUCUGUUUGUUAGGGAAGAGUCACAAGUACCGUUCGAAUAGGGCGGUACCUUGACGGUACCUAACCAGAAAGACCACGGCUAACUACUGCCAGCAGCCGCGGUAUACGUAGGUGGCAAGCGUUGUCCGGAAUUAUUGGGCGUAAAGGGCUCGCAGGCGGUUUCUUAAGUCUGAUGUGAAAGCCCCCGGCUCAACCGGGGAGGGUCAUGGAAACUGGGGAACUUGAGUGCAGAAGAAUCGGAGAGUGGAAUUCCACGUGUAGCGGUGAAAUGCGUAGAAUGUGGAGGAACACCAGUGGCGAAGGCGACUCUCUGGUCUGUAAUCUGACGCUGAGAAGAGCGAAAAGCGUGGGGAGGAACAGGAUUAGAUACCCUGGUAGUCCACGCCGUAAACGAUGAGUGCUAAGUGUUAGGGGGUUCCGCCCCUUAGUGCUGCAGCUAACGCAUUAAGCACUCCGCCUGGGGAGUACGGUCGCAAGACAUGAAACUGGCCAAAGGAAUUGACGGGGGCCCGCACAAGCGGUGGAGCAUGUGGUUUAAUUCGAAGCAACGCGAAGAACCUUACCAGGUCUUGACAUCCUCUGACAAUCCUAGAGAUAGGACGUCCCCUUCGGGGGCAGAGUGACAGGUGGUGCAUGGUUGUCGUCAGCUCGCGUGUCGUGAGAUGUUGGGUUAAGUCCCGCAACGAGCGCAACCCUUGAUCUUAGUUGCCAGCAUUCAGUUGGGCACUCUAAGGUGACUGCCGGUGACAAACCGGAGGAAGGUGGGGAUGACGUCAAAUCACUUCAUGCCCCUUAUGACCUGGGCUACACACGUGCUACAAUGGACAGAACAAAGGGCAGCGAAGCUACCGCGAGGUUAAGCCAAUCCCACAAAU
This 1185-nucleotide ribosomal RNA is filed under the name Bacillus subtilis. Its description in RNAcentral is "bacterial SSU rRNA". It matches the Rfam family "Bacterial small subunit ribosomal RNA", at positions 127 to 1281 of the family's 1533-position model. Lineage: Bacteria; Bacillati; Bacillota; Bacilli; Caryophanales; Bacillaceae. The record is from RNAcentral.